This 734-nucleotide ribosomal RNA is filed under the name uncultured bacterium. Its description in RNAcentral is "bacterial SSU rRNA". It matches the Rfam family "Bacterial small subunit ribosomal RNA", at positions 33 to 773 of the family's 1533-position model. The record is from RNAcentral.
ACGCUGGCGGCGUGCUUAACACAUGCAAGUCGAACGAUGAAGGGGAGCUUGCUUCCUGGAUUAGUGGCGAACGGGUGAGUAACACGUGAGUAACCUGCCCUUGACUCUGGGAUAAGCGUUGGAAACGACGUCUAAUACCGGAUAUGACCUGUGACGGCAUCGUCUGCAGGUGGAAAGAAUUUUGGUCAAGGAUGGACUCGCGGCCUAUCAGGUAGUUGGUGAGGUAACGGCUCACCAAGCCGACGACGGGUAGCCGGCCUGAGAGGGUGACCGGCCACACUGGGACUGAGACACGGCCCAGACUCCUACGGGAGGCAGCAGUGGGGAAUAUUGCACAAUGGGCGAAAGCCUGAUGCAGCAACGCCGCGUGAGGGACGACGGCCUUCGGGUUGUAAACCUCUUUUUAGUUGGGAAGAAGGGAGCUUGCUCUUGACGGUACCAGCAGAAAAAGCACCGGCUAACUACGUGCCAGCAGCCGCGGUAAUACGUAGGGUGCAAGCGUUGUCCGGAAUUAUUGGGCGUAAAGAGCUCGUAGGCGGUUUGUCGCGUCUGCUGUGAAAUCUGGGGGCUCAACCCCCAGCCUGCAGUGGGUACGGGCAGACUAGAGUGCGGUAGGGGAGAUUGGAAUUCCUGGUGUAGCGGUGGAAUGCGCAGAUAUCAGGAGGAACACCGAUGGCGAAGGCAGAUCUCUGGGCCGUUACUGACGCUGAGGAGCGAAAGCAUGGGGAGCGAAC